RNAcentral lists this ribosomal RNA (497 nucleotides) under uncultured bacterium. Its description in RNAcentral is "partial 16S ribosomal RNA". It matches the Rfam family "Bacterial small subunit ribosomal RNA", at positions 28 to 507 of the family's 1533-position model. The record is from RNAcentral.
GAUGAACGCUGGCGGCGUGCCUAAUACAUGCAAGUCGAGCGAACAGACGAGGAGCUUGCUCCUCUGACGUUAGCGGCGGACGGGUGAGUAACACGUGGAUAACCUACCUAUAAUACUGGGAUAACUUCGGGAAACCGGAGCUAAUACCGGAUAAUAUAUUGAACCGCAUGGUUCAAUAGUGAAAGACGGUUUUGCUGUCAGUUAGAGAUGGAUCCGCGCCGGAUUAGCUAGUUGGUAAGGUAACGGCUUACCAAGGCAACGAUGCGUAGCCGACCUGAUAGGGUGAUCGGCCACACUGGAACUGAGACACGGUCCAGACUCCUACGGGAGGCAGCAGUAGGGAAUAUUCCGCAAUGGGCGAAAGCCUGACGGAGCAACGCCGCGUGAGUGAUGAAGGUCUUCGGAUCGUAAAACUCUGUUAUUAGGGAAGAACAAAUGUGUAAGUAACUAUGCACGUCUUGACGGUACCUAAUCAGAAAGCCACGGCUAACUACGUG